Molecule: unclassified non-coding RNA, 240 nt
Filed under: soil metagenome
Description: partial contains 5.8S ribosomal RNA, internal transcribed spacer 2, and large subunit ribosomal RNA
Source: RNAcentral
AACCUAGCACACCUGCGGUGUGUACCUGCGGAGGGAUCAUUACCGAGUUUACAACUCCCAAACCCAAUGUGAACGUUACCAAACUGUUGCCUCGGCGGGAUCUCUGCCCCGGGUGCGUCGCAGCCCCGGACCAAGGCGCCCGCCGGAGGACCAACCUAAAACUCUUUUUGUAUACCCCCUCGCGGGUUUUUUAUAAUCUGAGCCUUCUCGGCGCCUCUCGUAGGCGUUUCGAAAAUGAAU